GGAUCCAGACUUUGAUCCUGGCUCAGGAUGAACGCUAGCUACAGGCUUAACACAUGCAAGUCGAGGGGAAACGACAUCGAAAGCUUGCUUUUGAUGGGCGUCGACCGGCGCACGGGUGAGUAACGCGUAUCCAACCUGCCCACCACUUGGGGAUAACCUUGCGAAAGUAAGACUAAUACCCAAUGACGUCUCUAGAAGACAUCUGAAAGAGAUUAAAGAUUUAUCGGUGAUGGAUGGGGAUGCGUCUGAUUAGCUUGUUGGCGGGGUAACGGCCCACCAAGGCAACGAUCAGUAGGGGUUCUGAGAGGAA
RNAcentral lists this ribosomal RNA (310 nucleotides) under uncultured Bacteroidota bacterium. Its description in RNAcentral is "bacterial SSU rRNA". It matches the Rfam family "Bacterial small subunit ribosomal RNA", at positions 1 to 301 of the family's 1533-position model. Lineage: Bacteria; Pseudomonadati; Bacteroidota. The record is from RNAcentral.